UACGUAGGGUGCGAGCGUUAAUCGGAAUUACUGGGCGUAAAGCGUGCGCAGGCGGUUGUGCAAGACAGGUGUGAAAUCCCCGGGCUUAACCUGGGAACUGCACUUGUGACUGCACGACUGGAGUACGGCAGAGGGGGAUGGAAUUCCGCGUGUAGCAGUGAAAUGCGUAGAUAUGCGGAGGAACACCGAUGGCGAAGGCAGUCCCCUGGGCCUGUACUGACGCUCAUGCACGAAAGCGUGGGGAGCAAACAG
This 252-nucleotide ribosomal RNA is filed under the name uncultured bacterium. Its description in RNAcentral is "partial 16S ribosomal RNA". It matches the Rfam family "Bacterial small subunit ribosomal RNA", at positions 524 to 775 of the family's 1533-position model. The record is from RNAcentral.